RNAcentral lists this ribosomal RNA (429 nucleotides) under Pseudomonadota bacterium. RNAcentral's name for it is "Proteobacteria bacterium partial 16S ribosomal RNA". It matches the Rfam family "Bacterial small subunit ribosomal RNA", at positions 355 to 776 of the family's 1533-position model. Lineage: Bacteria; Pseudomonadati; Pseudomonadota. The record is from RNAcentral.
UGGGGAAUAUUGGACAAUGGGCGAAAGCCUGAUCCAGCCAUGCCGCGUGUGUGAAGAAGGUCUUCGGAUUGUAAAGCACUUUAAGUUGGGAGGAAGGGCAGUAAGCGAAUACCUUGCUGUUUUGACGUUACCGACAGAAUAAGCACCGGCUAACUCUGUGCCAGCAGCCGCGGUAAUACAGAGGGUGCAAGCGUUAAUCGGAAUUACUGGGCGUAAAGCGCGCGUAGGUGGUUCGUUAAGUUGAAUGUGAAAGCCCCGGGCUCAACCUGGGAACUGCAUCCAAAACUGGCGAGCUAGAGUAGGGCAGAGGGUGGUGGAAUUUCAUGUGUAGCGGUGAAAUUCGUAGAUAUAGGAAGGAACACCAGUGGCGAAGGCGACCACCUGGGCUCAUACUGACACUGAGGUGCUAAAGCGUGGGGAGCAAACAGG